Molecule: ribosomal RNA, 562 nt
Filed under: uncultured bacterium
Lineage: Bacteria
Description: partial 16S ribosomal RNA
Rfam family: Bacterial small subunit ribosomal RNA
Source: RNAcentral
UGGGAAUUUGGACAAUGGGCGAAGCCUGAUCCAGCAAUGCCGCGUGUGUGAAGAAGGCCUUCGGGUUGUAAAGCACUUUUGUCCGGAAAGAAAUCCUUGGCUCUAAUACAGUCGGGGGAUGACGGUACCGGAAGAAUAAGCACCGGCUAACUACGUGCCAGCAGCCGCGGUAAUACGUAGGGUGCAAGCGUUAAUCGGAAUUACUGGGCGUAAAGCGUGCGCAGGCGGUUUGCUAAGACCGAUGUGAAAUCCCCGGGCUCAACCUGGGAACUGCAUUGGUGACUGGCAGGCUAGAGUAUGGCAGAGGGGGGUAGAAUUCCACGUGUAGCAGUGAAAUGCGUAGAGAUGUGGAGGAAUACCGAUGGCGAAGGCAGCCCCCUGGGCAAUACUGACGCUCAUGCACGAAAGCGUGGGGAGCAAACAGGAUUAGAUACCCUGGUAGUCCACGCCCUAAACGAUGUCAACUAGUUGUUGGGGAUUCAUUUCCUUAGUAACGUAGCUAACGCGUGAAGUUGACCGCCUGGGGAGUACGGUCGCAAGAUUAAAACUUAAAGGAAUUGAC